CCAAUAUUGAGGCGCUAGUAAUGCCCAAGCAUGCUCUCUGCCUUCACAUCCUCUGCUUAGAACACUCUCUCCCUGUCCAGUCCUUGAGAGCAAGCCUAGUGUCUUACUCAUUAUUUUACACUUGGCAACUAGUACAGGUAACUGGCCUAUGAUUCCCACUAGAGUCUUCUGGGGGAGAAUCAUCAUAAUUACCUCCCUUUCACAGAUGAAGAAAUUGAGGUUCAGAAAAGUGAAGCAACUGGAACUGAACCUAAAUUGAUUAUCCCAAGGUCACAAAGUUGGACACCAAUCUUUAAUACCCCAAAGUUAUUUUGUUUUCUCUACACCAGGCCACACUACCUCCUUUUUUGCCCGAGCAAGAUCUGCCAAGCUCCCCCUUUUUCCAGGAGCCAAGCCAGCUACCAUUUAACCGCCACAUUUACACCGGAUAAGCUCCCAGAACUAAGAUGGAUACUUUGGAAUGAUUAUGUGGCUUUAAUGAUUCAGGGCUGUCUACAGAGGACCCCCUGGACCCUCACAAGACCAUUCCACACUUGGACAACUGCGUCCCAGGGGCCUUGCAAGAGAACCAGAGGAAUCCUGAGGCCUUUCAGCCAAGGAAUGCUCCCGGAGAGCUGUUUAUCUUGGACAUGGGCAGAUGGCCAGGUACCACCAGGCAACGGCUGGCUCCACUAAAAAUUCAUGGGUCAUAGACGCUUGCUCCAGAAUGGCAACAACCUUGGAAUUUGUGACUUCCUCUCUCCCUUGUAGCAGCUAGCACAAUUAGAAAAAGCAGUACACCUACAAUCACAGUAGCUAACAUUGAUCGAGUGCCUAUUCUAUGAUCUCAUCUUCAUGGAAACUCUAAUUAUCAUGAAUCCCAUUUUAUCGAUGAGGAAGCUAAGUCUUAGAGAUGUUAAAUGUCUUACUCAGGGGCACUCAUCACUAGGAAGCAGAAGAGCCGGGAAUCUAGGACUGCAGCUGAGGCAAAGUCUGUAGAAGGGGAAAAAAAUCAUUGUAUGGUAGUAUUAAUAGGACUAUUGACAUGAUUUUAUCUGGAACAUUCAGAUUUUUAUCAAACAAUUUUUAAAUAACAUUUAAUUAGAGGCUGGGUAUAGAAUGUGAUUAAAAAAAAAAAAACACCCGAGGUUGGGGGUUCAUUUCCAUCAUUGAAUCCAAGGCAGUAUGGAAGCUGGAAUACUCAUGCUCAGGAAUCUGUUGUUUUUCUCCAAUUUAGCUUCCGAGAAAUUUGCAGACCUGUAAGAGAUGAAAGCGAGGGACCUUUCAAAAGAUGGUUACUUCCUUUUCAACUCCAUCUUUCACAUAGCUUAAUCCUUUCUGGGAUAAAUUGGGUUUACUAUGGAAAUGUCUUCUUCUAAGAUGCAGUUUCAAAACAGAUAUUUUUGUUCCCUUGUUUAAAAAUGCAUCGUCAACAAAUUGCUUGUGUUUAUUCAACUUGUCCAAAUAAAAGCCAUAUAAGGCUCA
Molecule: long non-coding RNA, 1464 nt
Filed under: Vulpes vulpes (red fox)
Lineage: Eukaryota; Metazoa; Chordata; Mammalia; Carnivora; Canidae
Description: lncRNA (ENSVVUG00000013737.1)
Source: RNAcentral